RNA transcript from Equus caballus (horse), 573 nucleotides. It is a transcript of the gene named major allergen I polypeptide chain 2, with no coding region annotated. The record is from RefSeq and is a predicted model, not a curated record. NCBI's taxonomy places the organism in Eukaryota, Metazoa, Chordata, Mammalia, Perissodactyla, Equidae.
GCAGCAGAAACCCUGCCCUGUGAAGAGCAUUCUAGCAGUUGACACUAUGAAGGGGGCACUGCUUGUGCUGGCCUUGCUGGUGACCAGAGAGCUGGGCAUCAAGAUGGCGGAAGCUUGCCCGAGUUUUUAUGCAGUCCUUGGUGUGUUGUCCCUUGGAAGCAAGACACUGUUGGACACCUCCCUCAAUCUGGUCAAUGCUACUGAACCGGAAAAAGUAGCCAUGGGAAAAAUCCAGGAUUGCUACAAUGAGGCGGGAGUCAUAACCAAGAUCUCGGAUCUGAUCAUCAUGGUUAGGGGAGCUAGCAUUGCAGGAGUAGAUUUUUAACCUUUGGCUGGAAAGAAAGAGCUCAGCUCCUGCACAUGUAGGAGCUCCGGCAGCUCUAUUUUCGCAAUAUUAAAAAUGAGCACCUGCCUUUAGAUUCUUCCCAGGAAGAGACUCCCCGGCUUGGGUACUAUCACCACCAGCCCAGAAUGCAUCAGCCACGCACUGAGCACAUUGACGACGGAUGUUCAAGAAGGCAUUUCUAAGCUGAACCCUCUGGGGAGAUGAAUCUUUGUCUCUGAUGCCCAGCC